This 72-nucleotide transfer RNA is filed under the name Orchesella cincta. It matches the Rfam family "tRNA". Rfam says of the family: Transfer RNA (tRNA) molecules are approximately 80 nucleotides in length. The record is from Rfam by way of RNAcentral. Lineage: Eukaryota; Metazoa; Arthropoda; Collembola; Entomobryomorpha; Orchesellidae.
GGUUCAAUGGUCUAGCGGUAUGAUUCUCGUCUUGGGUACGAGAGGUCUCGGGUUCGAAUCCCGAUUGAACCA